UGGCAGCGGUGGGAUUCGAUCCCACGCCUAGAAAGACUGGUACCUAAAACCAGCACCUUAGGACACUCGGCCACGUUACU
This is a non-coding RNA of Araneus ventricosus, 80 nucleotides long. The record is from the annotation of a GenBank genome assembly. Lineage: Eukaryota; Metazoa; Arthropoda; Arachnida; Araneae; Araneidae.